UCACUGCUUGCGCAGGCAGUCUCUUUAGAGUCCCCACCAUAAUGUGCUGGCAACUAAAGAUAGGGGUUGCGCUCGUUGCGGGACUUAACCCAACACCUCACGGCACGAGCUGACGACGGCCAUGCAGCACCUUACUGGCGGUGUAUUGCUACAAAGUGAGCUUUCACCAACGGUCCACCAGCAUUCUAGCCCAGGUAAGGUUCCUCGCGUAUCAUCGAAUUAAACCACAUGAUCCACCGCUUGUGCGGGCCCCCGUCAAUUCCUUUGAGUUUCAACCUUGCGAUCGUACUCCCCAGGUGGUAUGAUUAAUAGGUUCCCUACGGCACUGAAGCAUUGCUGCCCCAACACCAAGCAUACAUCGUUUAUGGUGUGGACUAC
RNAcentral lists this unclassified non-coding RNA (378 nucleotides) under uncultured Bacteroidota bacterium. Its description in RNAcentral is "uncultured Bacteroidetes bacterium contains 16S-23S intergenic spacer region". The record is from RNAcentral. Lineage: Bacteria; Pseudomonadati; Bacteroidota.